This 503-nucleotide ribosomal RNA is filed under the name uncultured bacterium. RNAcentral's name for it is "partial 16S ribosomal RNA". It matches the Rfam family "Bacterial small subunit ribosomal RNA", at positions 30 to 523 of the family's 1533-position model. The record is from RNAcentral.
AUUGAACGCUGGCGGCAGGCUUAACACAUGCAAGUCGAGCGGGGUGAUGGUGCUUGCACUAUCACUUAGCGGCGGACGGGUGAGUAAUGCUUAGGAAUCUGCCUAUUAGUGGGGGACAACAUCUCGAAAGGGAUGCUAAUACCGCAUACGUCCUACGGGAGAAAGCAGGGGAUCACUUGUGACCUUGCGCUAAUAGAUGAGCCUAAGUCGGAUUAGCUAGUUGGUGGGGUAAAGGCCUACCAAGGCGACGAUCUGUAGCGGGGCUGAGAGGAUGAUCCGCCACACUGGGACUGAGCCACGGCCCAGACGCCUACGGGAGGCAGCAGUGGGGAAUAUUGGACAAUGGGGAGAACCCUGAUCCAGCCAUGCCGCGUGUGUGAAGAAGGCCUUAUGGUUGUAAAGCACUUUAAGCGAGGAGGAGGCUCUUUUGGUUAAUACCCAAGAUGAGUGGACGUUACUCGCAGAAUAAGCACCGGCUAACUCUGUGCCAGCAGCCGCCGUAA